Long non-coding RNA from Homarus americanus (American lobster), 247 nucleotides. RefSeq lists it as uncharacterized. The transcript is spliced from 3 exons. The record is from RefSeq and is a predicted model, not a curated record. Lineage: Eukaryota; Metazoa; Arthropoda; Malacostraca; Decapoda; Nephropidae.
CCCGUCUGUUGCCUAGUUACGACUUAGAUUGGAACGACCUGAAGCCAAAAACGACCCUCUAUGACGACCAUGGCGCUGCUGGGGGUACUACUACUAAUCGGGGUCGUUCCUGUAGUAGUCGUGGCCAGCUUGACUCCUUCUACAGGAGGAGGGGAGGUGCUGGCGGAAGCGGGAGGAGCGGUUGAGGCGGUGCUGGUGGAGGUGGGAGGAGCGGUUGAGAUGCUGGUGGAGGCGAGGGGAGCGGUUG